RNAcentral lists this transfer RNA (92 nucleotides) under Desulfovibrio ferrophilus. Its description in RNAcentral is "tRNA-Ser". It matches the Rfam family "tRNA". Rfam says of the family: Transfer RNA (tRNA) molecules are approximately 80 nucleotides in length. Their secondary structure includes four short double-helical elements and three loops (D, anti-codon, and T loops). Lineage: Bacteria; Pseudomonadati; Thermodesulfobacteriota; Desulfovibrionia; Desulfovibrionales; Desulfovibrionaceae. The record is from RNAcentral.
GGAGAGGUGUCCGAGUCCGGCUUAAGGAGCACGCCUGGAAAGCGUGUGUCCCUUCACGGGGACCGGAGGUUCAAAUCCUCUCCUCUCCGCCA